Molecule: long non-coding RNA, 241 nt
Organism: Amblyraja radiata (thorny skate)
Lineage: Eukaryota; Metazoa; Chordata; Chondrichthyes; Rajiformes; Rajidae
Exons: 3
Source: RefSeq, a predicted model, not a curated record
ACCAAUGACGUCGUCUCUCCGCGCCUGCGCAGUGGGGGUGCGGGAUCAGAUCGCCGCCAUUGUCAACGCCUCGCCUCGAUGAUCCGGGCCUAGUCUGGCGAAACCAUCAACAAGCUGUGGAAAGCCUCUUCUGAGGAUCUGUUCUGUUUGGAACGUGCAAUCCAUUACAAGAAAAUAACAGAAAAAGCUCUGCCCCUGGUGUACUGGUGGUUGGGCACAGCCUGGUACCAGUUAACAACGG